Molecule: long non-coding RNA, 757 nt
Organism: Cygnus atratus (black swan)
Lineage: Eukaryota; Metazoa; Chordata; Aves; Anseriformes; Anatidae
Exons: 3
Source: RefSeq, a predicted model, not a curated record
AGAAUCCCUUUUGGGAAUCACUCUCAUUAUCCUUCCCCAAGGCAGAAUUCUGCUGAAUCACUCACCCUACUCAGUCCCUGAAGGUUCAUUCUUAUGGGAUGAUAUUGGCAACCUCCUACGAAUACAGGAUGAGGCUGUCAUGCUUUUAUCUGCAAACAAACCUACUAAAUGAGCACGACUCCCUCUACAGUAGUAAAGGUAUCACAAUCCAGUUCAUAAAAAUGAACACGUAGGUUCUACCCAAAGGAGUUUACAGUCAGAUCAGACUCAGGCAGCAAAUUUUAUUCUGCCUGUUUUCCAACACACCUGUAAGCUCCAGUACUGUCUUGUGACAAAUCAUAUCCUAUUUUAACGUAAUAUGAAAUGCAAAAAAAAGUAUCUGAUGAUUUUUUGCAGUUGCUUGUGAUUCCCUUGUUAUCCUUCGAGAAUUUCAAAGGAAGUGGCAAUUUAAAAAAUGAGAAGUUGAGAAAAAGGAAAGAAGAAGAUGCAGUGAAGUGGCUGCACAACAGUGUAACUGGGGAUGAGGUGCAAAAAGGUAUCGGAGCUCCAGUUCCUGGAAUUCCAGCGUGACUUGAGCAAUUCAGAUUGUAUUGCAAGAAAAAGUUAGUUCUGGCAUUCCCUUGCAGAGAGUGAUUUGAAAACCUGACUCACAACCGUCCUGCAGUCUCAGAAACAAGGUGGCAGCUCCCGUCUAAAUCUACAGACAGCACUUCAUGUAUGAAUCAUUUCUUGGUGACUUGCAAAACUCUUCUGAGAU